Molecule: non-coding RNA, 85 nt
Organism: Felis catus (domestic cat)
Lineage: Eukaryota; Metazoa; Chordata; Mammalia; Carnivora; Felidae
Source: Rfam
GUCUGGGUGGCUCAGUCGGUUGAGCGUCUGACUUCGGCUCAGGUCAUGAUCUCGCAGUCUGUGAGUUCGAGCCCCGCAUCAGGCU